Microcebus murinus (gray mouse lemur) is the source of this 4241-nucleotide long non-coding RNA. RefSeq lists it as uncharacterized. The record is from RefSeq and is a predicted model, not a curated record. NCBI's taxonomy places the organism in Eukaryota, Metazoa, Chordata, Mammalia, Primates, Cheirogaleidae.
CUGGCGCGCUCCACGCGGCGAGGCGUCCGUAGGCUCCUCCCCUGGGCGCGGCCUCUGGCCGCCUGUGCUGCUGCCCAGGUGAUGCCGGCUCGGGCACGUGGCAUCCUAACUGUUCUGCCGCCGCCGGAGCCAGGGGGGAGCCGGUGAGAGAGAGCCGCAGCGGGGCUGGCAUCCGGAGUGCUGAGGUGAACUUGGGGCAGCAUCCUCAACUGUCUCCUUCCCUGCCCUGAAGGUCCCCAGGAGGCUGAGGGGCGGAGGGCCAGCGUAGCCUCGACUGCCGCCGGCUUUGGGGUCAGCACGUGGGGCACCCCGGGGGGGAGCGCGGAUGCCGCGGGGUCGAGCUGGGGCCGUGCCGCCUCGCCUGGGCGCUGCCUUCGGGACCGGGACUGUCCCGCCCGAAGCGCUGAGGAGGACCCGCGCGACCGUCUGAAUGCCCCUGAAGGCCCUCUGCGCCUCCUGGAGUCAGUUCCUGAGAAGGUACCGAAAGACUCAAGUUUUACGCUUCACGCUCUUUUUUUUUAGGCAGGGUAGGGGUGUGGAAGAGUGCGGUACAAGGCUCCCAGAACACUGGCACCCAAAUCUUUACUCUCCAUGCAAAGAUUUUAGAAGAGUCUUCUCUGAAGAAUCUGACAAUUCCCAAGAUACAGGCUUAAGAGGUUCUCCCAACAAAUUGCCCAUGCAGAUUAUCUUGCAGUGAAUCUCAAAAUCCUAUAAACCAUGUGCUCAAAUCUUCCAGACAGCUUUUUAGUCCUCUUAAUCAUAAGCAGACAACCAAAGAUUAUCACACCUGUGAGAAAAAAAACCCUAAAUGUGAGUUUUAGAGAUCAAAACAAAUAGAAAAAAACAGUACUGAGGAAAACAGGCUAUACAAGGAGAUGAGAAUUUUAAAACAAGUGAUAAUAAUAUUCUCAGAUUGAAUAGAUAGAUACUGCAUCCAUGAAACAGGAACAGACUGACAUUCAUGUAAGAAACUUUGAAAAAUAAAGAAAAUCUUGAAUAUUAAAAACAUGAUAGCAAAAAUGAAAAUGCUAGAAGGAUUGGAAAAGAAAAUUAAAGAAGUCUCCACAAAAGAGCAAUAAGCAAAGAGGAACCAUAAAAGAAUGAAAGCUAAGAGAGUAGAGGACCUGAGAGUUCAACCUACAAAUAUUACAGGAGGAAAUUAUCCAUAAAAUAUUCAAGAAAAAUGUCCAGAACUAAAGGACAUGAGUUUACAGAGUGAAUGAGCCCACCGAGUGCCCAGGAAAAUGGGUAAAAAUAGAUCUGUACCAAGAUACAUAACUGCAAAAUUUUAGAACACUUGGAGUAGAGCAGAUCCUACAAGCUUCCAGACAGAAGAAAUGUCAUAUGAAAAGGAACAGAAAUCACAAUGGCUUCAGACUUGUAAACAACACAACCAAAAGCAAGGACACAAGCUAGAGUAUAAACUUUGACUUUGUCUCUUUAUGUACCUUUGCCACUGUUGUUCUCUGCUGGGUCCCAAGUGCUUAGAGACAGUGCCAGGCAUAUAGUAGGUUCUCAAUAAAAAUUUAUUGAGAGAAAGAAAACAAUAGAGACGGCUUCAAAAUUCUGAAGAAAAAUUUCUUCUUGCGUAUAACUAAGCCAGUACAAUAUAUAUAUCAGUCAAAUAUGAAUUUAGAUAAAGACGUUUGCAAAGUCUCAAUUUACCCUCCCUAUACCCUUUCUCUAGAAACUAUGAGAGGAUAUCCUCUACCAAAACAAGAGUUACCCCAAAAAAGGCAAGGAAUAUGGGAAAUAGGAAAUCUGAUGCUUGGGGAGAGGCAAAGAACCCAUAGGAAGAUGGUGAAAAGAGAUCCCAGGAUAAUAAAUAUACAUCAGAAGUGUUAAUAAAUGGCAACCAGUUCAGAUUGGAGCAGUCACUAAGAUGCCCACUGCUUUGCCCAAGAACAGAGUGCCCUGGUUAUAUUGGCCCAGAUUUUUACAUGCACUUAGCUUGCCUGAACCAUGUGCUGAUGAAGUUCCUGCCCUCCCUUCUAUCCUGUCCCACCUAAAUUAACUGAGAAUAUGCAUUUUACUCCAUGAAAAUAUUCUGCUCCUAUAUAAUUCCUAAGGGCCAGAGGUAGGCCAAAAUUGAAAAUACAGCAGGAAAUACGCAAACAUCUUGACACCAUUCCCGAAACAUCCUGAACGAGACCUCUGCUACAGUCCAGCCAAAUGCUUCAACCGUGGUGACCCCUGUUUCCCAGCAUGCUUGCUUUGUGGAGAGUCCCCCAAGACCAUCCCCAGAUUUGCUAGGAAGACUCACAGAACUCAGCAUACGGUCAAGGCUAUGGUUUAUUACAGUGAAAGAACACAAAGCAAAAUCAGCAAAGGGAAAAGGGAAUGGGUUUUAUUGGGAAUUGGUCACGUGGGAACCCUCUGCCUAGCACAAGCCAAAAUUCCAGGCUCCCUGAAAGAAACAGCAUAAACCAUAUUGUUUGCACAGUUUAGGCAUAAAGGUCCACUCUUACCAUUUAGGGAAUGAUGAAACAACCCCCCCCCCCCCCGAGAUCCACGCUUCCAGAAACCAGCCAAGGACCAAUCUUCCCCAGGUAUUCCUUUAUAGCAGUGGAAAACGGACUGACACACUCUGGAAACAGCCCUUCCAAGUUCUGCGUUCCAUGUUCCAACCUCACUGGACUUCAGAUGGAGCCAAGGCACAAGCUAAGAGUUCUAUGAGGACACGUACCAUUUAUAUUGUUUAGGUGAAUGCCACAGAACAAAAGAGCGAAAGCAGCAGGAGAGAGACGUGAACCAACUUUUGACUGCCAGGAACAGAUGAACAGGCAGUGACUGACCUUUCCUCAAGCAUCUCUGUUUCCACAGCCCCGGGGCAGUGCAGUGUCUAGCAUGUGAGAUGUCUCCCUACGUUGUCCAGGCUGGUAACAACUUGUGGCCUCAAGCGAUCCUCCCACCUCAGCUUACCAAGUAACUGGGACCGUAGGCAUCAACCACUGUGCCCAGCUCAAGUGCAAGAAUUUAGAACUACACUAAGACAGAUGGAACUUGGUCCAGCUGUCCUGUCACUACCCCCAUUUUACAGAUGAGGAAGCUGAAGCUUAAAGAGAAGCAGCUUGCUCCAAAGUCAGUAGAGGAGGAACCAAGACAAAAGCAUACCUUCUCACUGGAGGUGGCAGGGAGGGAAGGCAUCUGGAAGGAGGGGCCUUUUCUAGGCAAGAGGAAUAGGAUGGGUGCAGAGGUGUGGGGGUGGAAGGAUGCAGGGUUUGGAAAUGAGGGCAGAAGCUGGUAGAACCAGGUUAUGAAGGGCCUCGCAGGCCCAGCCCAAGAAUCUAUAAGGAAGUCAGCACAAAAAAUGACAACUCCAUUAAUGACAGGGUGGCCAGAUCAAGGUGCCCACAACCUGGUCAAUUAGCCACCUAGGCAGAUUCUUGACAGCCAGGUGACCCCCAGCUAAGUGCAGACAGAAAAGAACUAUUAGCUCCUAGGCCAGCCAGACACAUCACGCCUGCUCAUUUCUCCUCCGGUUUCAGUUUCUCACCCAACCUGGGGGGGUGCGGUAUCUGAGGAUAAACAGUGCCCCCACCCCCUGGCACCUGUUAGACCAGCUGGGCCUGUUCUUUCGCUGGCUGAACAAGAGGUUGUGUUUGGGUGGGUCUCAAAGGCCUCUGCCCCUGUUUUGGCCAAGACAAAAAGGGAGCAGCAGUGGUGGGCAGAGCCGGCUUGCACCCCACCCUAGCUUUUUGCCCACCUCUCUGAAGUUGCAAAAGAGAUCCUCGUGAGAUUGCAGGGAGGAGCAAGGAGGGUUGGACACAAUCCCUGUCUUUCUCUAGCUUAAGAUUCAGCUUUCUUCCAAUUUUGGAUUUUCUACCCUUCAGUCUUUCUUCUUUCACAGAACUGCUUCCUUGUCUUCUCUUAUGAAUACAGACAGCUUCAUUCCUACUCCGCGAAAGGCUAAAAGCUUUACCAUAAACUUUUCAGAAUGAGACAUUAAUGAUGGUGAUCUAGAUUGGGGCUCACAUAAUUCUCACUUUCCUAAUUGUCCCAGUGCCUUGGAAGCCAUUUCCAACUGGAAGCCCCAGACAGAUGGCCAGUAGAUGGCGCCAAAGGUUAAUUACUACAUUUGGGCUGACUUGCUCCAAUUUGGUACAAUUCAAGUACAUACUCAGUUGUUCAUUCUGUACACAUAGGUGGCCUACCGGGUGCCAAGUUUUGAGAUGGGUUUGUAGAAUAAAGAGAUGAGAGGCCGGGGUGCGGUGGCUCACAUCUGUAAUGCUAGCACUCUG